RNAcentral lists this ribosomal RNA (479 nucleotides) under uncultured bacterium. Its description in RNAcentral is "partial 16S ribosomal RNA". It matches the Rfam family "Bacterial small subunit ribosomal RNA", at positions 28 to 507 of the family's 1533-position model. The record is from RNAcentral.
GAUGAACGCUAGCGGGAGGCCUAACACAUGCAAGCCGAGCGGUAUUGUUUCUUCGGAAAUGAGAGAGCGGCGUACGGGUGCGUAACACGUGUGCAACCUGCCUUUAUCUGGGGGAUAGCCUUUCGAAAGGAAGAUUAAUACUCCAUAAUAUAUUGAACGGCAUCGUUUAAUAUUGAAAGCUCCGGCGGAUAGAGAUGGGCACGCGCAAGAUUAGCUAGUUGGUGAGGUAACGGCUCACCAAGGCGAUGAUCUUUAGGGGGCCUGAGGGGGUGAUCCCCCACACUGGUACUGAGACACGGACCAGACUCCUACGGGAGGCAGCAGUGAGGAAUAUUGGUCAAUGGGUGCAAGCCUGAACCAGCCAUCCCGCGUGAAGGACGACUGCCCUAUGGGUUGUAAACUUCUUUUGUAUAGGGAUAAACCUACCCUCGAGAGGGUAGCUGAAGGUACUAUACGAAUAAGCACCGGCUAACUCCGUG